This 77-nucleotide non-coding RNA is filed under the name Actinoplanes regularis. The record is from RNAcentral. Lineage: Bacteria; Bacillati; Actinomycetota; Actinomycetes; Micromonosporales; Micromonosporaceae.
UUGAGCCGUGUGCCGGGAAACUGGCACGCACGGUUCUGAGGGGGCGGCGGCGCAGCAAUGCGCCGUCGCUACCCGGC